Molecule: ribosomal RNA, 118 nt
Filed under: Triticum aestivum (bread wheat)
Lineage: Eukaryota; Viridiplantae; Streptophyta; Magnoliopsida; Poales; Poaceae
Also listed under: 1 other name
Source: RNAcentral
GGAUGCGAUCAUACCAGCACUAAAGCACCGGAUCCCAUCAGAACUCUGAAGUUAAGCAUGCUUGGGCGAGAGUAGUACUAGGAUGGUGACCUCUUGGGAAGUCCUCGUGUUGCAUUCC